AUCAAAGACAUCCAUAUUUUUGUUACUUUACAUAGUUUGGUAGUCACUACAUUAUAUUUGCAAAGUUGAUACUAGUUUUAUGUGAAACUGAUACAUUUGAUUCAUUUUAGGGCGAAUGAGAACAUUAUCCUGGCCACCACAAAACAUGGAGGACACCUGGCUUAUUACGAGGGUAUAACUGUAAAUAGCUUGUGGCAAUUUACAGCUUCUCUCUCUUUCUCGUGUUUUUGCUUCAGGCAAAUCCUGUAUUCUGCAACAUUGAGGGACAGGUGGGUGAGAGUCGUUGAUGAAUUCUUUCAUGUCUUGCACUCUAGCCCAUUGAGAAACAGAAAAGAGAAGGUGGAAGAGUGUAGCUCGACUUCCAUGCCGCAAUCUUCAAUUGAUCAGGGACCAUUCUUGAAUGUUAUGGAAGGUGGAAUGGUGACUGCAAUGGGCAACAUCACAGACAGUGUAGCAGAAGAAACGUGCAAUGGAGAUGGGGAUCAUGUUAAGAAGGGAGAAGAAACCAUUUCUGACAGAGAGAGGAGUGAUAAUAUGACAGAUAAAAUACCUCCUAUAAUUAAUGACAAUCAACAAUCAGAUCAAAAUCUCAAUGAUCUAAUAGUUCCUAUGAGAAGAUAAAUGGGUCAGCUCUCGAAGCGAAGUGGGAUUUCAAUCUGGCUGCUUGUAUACAUUGCAAUUGUAACAACUUGGCCGCUGGCAGGCUCAGCUCUUCUUUUGUUCAUCAAGAAAAGGUUCAAAAGCAUAAUUCCAGCAGCAUUGCUUAGAAGAUAA
Molecule: non-coding RNA, 774 nt
Organism: Jatropha curcas
Lineage: Eukaryota; Viridiplantae; Streptophyta; Magnoliopsida; Malpighiales; Euphorbiaceae
Source: RefSeq, a predicted model, not a curated record